Molecule: ribosomal RNA, 375 nt
Filed under: Triticum aestivum (bread wheat)
Lineage: Eukaryota; Viridiplantae; Streptophyta; Magnoliopsida; Poales; Poaceae
Description: partial small subunit ribosomal RNA
Source: RNAcentral
AUGAGAAACGAGAUCACCGGCUGCUCACAGCGGCGCUACUGCUCACGGCGGGGAAGGGAGAUCGGCGGCGCAGCUCACGACGGUGGCGGCGAAGGGACAUCAGCGGCACUGCUCAUGGCGGUGGCGAUGAAGGGACAUCGGCAGCGUUGCUGCUCAAGGAGGCGGCGAAUUGAUACGGCGGCGCUGCUGCUCAUGGCGCAGGGGGGUCGCCGGCGGUGCUGUUCAUGGUGGAGGGAGAUCAUCGGCGGCCGGCGCUACUGCCUGUUCCCCGCGGUGAAGAAAACGAUUCGGAAGAGUGGUGGUAUUAUUUCAUACCGGGCUGUACCGGGUGUUUUCAGUUUAGUGAAGAAUGAUUUGCGAUUACAUGGUAUCUGA